Molecule: transfer RNA, 75 nt
Filed under: Caulobacteraceae bacterium
Lineage: Bacteria; Pseudomonadati; Pseudomonadota; Alphaproteobacteria; Caulobacterales; Caulobacteraceae
Also listed under: 1 other name
Description: tRNA-Val
Rfam family: tRNA
About the family: Transfer RNA (tRNA) molecules are approximately 80 nucleotides in length. Their secondary structure includes four short double-helical elements and three loops (D, anti-codon, and T loops). Further hydrogen bonds mediate the characteristic L-shaped molecular structure. tRNAs have two regions of fundamental functional importance: the anti-codon, which is responsible for specific mRNA codon recognition, and the 3' end, to which the tRNAs corresponding amino acid is attached (by aminoacyl-tRNA synthetases). tRNAs cope with the degeneracy of the genetic code in two manners: having more than one tRNA (with a specific anti-codon) for a particular amino acid; and 'wobble' base-pairing, i.e. permitting non-standard base-pairing at the 3rd anti-codon position.
Source: RNAcentral
GGAUGCGUAGCUCAGCGGGAGAGCACUGCCUUCACACGGCAGGGGUCGUAGGUUCAAUCCCUACCGCAUCCACCA